This 45-nucleotide non-coding RNA is filed under the name Schistosoma mattheei. The record is from RNAcentral. Lineage: Eukaryota; Metazoa; Platyhelminthes; Trematoda; Strigeidida; Schistosomatidae.
AUCCAUCUGACGAGUCCCAAAUAGGACGAAACGUGCUUCCUGGAU